RNAcentral lists this non-coding RNA (808 nucleotides) under Salmo salar (Atlantic salmon). Its description in RNAcentral is "Eukaryotic small subunit ribosomal RNA". It matches the Rfam family "Eukaryotic small subunit ribosomal RNA", at positions 4 to 588 of the family's 1831-position model. The record is from Rfam by way of RNAcentral. Lineage: Eukaryota; Metazoa; Chordata; Actinopteri; Salmoniformes; Salmonidae.
CUGGUUGAUCCUGCCAGUAGCAUAUGCUUGGCUCAAAGAUUAAGCCAUGAAAGUCUAAGUACAUAAGGCCGGUACAAUGAAACUGCUAAUAGCUCAUCAGUUAUGGAUCCUUUGAUCACUCCAACAUUACUUGGAUAACUGUGGCAAAUCUAGAGCUAAUACAGAUGCAGGAUCUUAAUUUGAGCCAGUUUGCUACAGCAGGAAAAUAAUCCUACUGAAACAGGAAAUUUGAAUUAUUUUGUGGAUUCUAAUUAAUAGACAUUCUUGUAGGGUUUGAUAAAUUUUUUGUAAAUGAAAAUCAAGUGGCAAUUACAAAUUUCAGAAGCCUUAUCAAAUCUACACUACAUGUUUUGAAUGUCCUGCAUUGCAGGAAAGUUAUCCUGCAGUAGGGUGAUCAAAUUAAGAUCCUACAUCUGUACAUGCCAACGAACGUUGACUUUCGAGGAUUCGUGCAUUUAUCAAACCCAAAACCCAUGUGGGGUCCUCUCGGGCACCCCAAACACUUUUUGUGACGCUAGAUAACCUUGAGCUGAUAGCGUGACCUUCGUUGCAGUGACGUUUCAUUAUAAUAUCUGAUCUAUCAACUUUCCAUCGGUUCUUCUGUGCACACUAUGGUGACCACGGGUAAUGAGGAAUCAGGGUUUGAUUCCGGCGAGUGAGCCUGAGAAACGGCUAUCAUACCCAAGGAUUAAGGCAGCUGGUCGCGCAAAUUACCCACUGCCGACUUGGGGAAAUAGGACUCUCCUGAGGCCCUGCAUUUGGAGUGAGCACACUUGAAAUUAUUUAACGAGGAUUCCUUGCUAAUAUU